AGGACGAACGCUGGCGGCGGGCUUAACACAUGCAAGUCGAACGAAGCCUUCGGGCUUAGUGGCGCACGGGUGAGUAACACGUAGGCAACCUACCCUCAGCUGGGGAAUAACCAGGGGAAACCCUGGCUAAUACCGCAUAACGUCGUCGCGACCACCUGGUCGUACGACCAAAGUUCUGGCGGCUGAGGAUGGGCCUGCGUCGGAUUAGCUAGUUGGCGGGUAACGCCACAAGGCGACGAUCCGUAGCGGUCUGAGAGGAUGAUCCGCCACACUGGCACUGAGACACGGCAGACUCCUACGGGAGCAGCAGUGAGGAUAUGCGCAAUGGGCGAAAGCUGACGCACGCCACGGCCGCGUGCGAGGAAGACCACCCGUCGUCGGGACGUAACGUGUACUUUGU
This 400-nucleotide ribosomal RNA is filed under the name uncultured soil bacterium. Its description in RNAcentral is "bacterial SSU rRNA". It matches the Rfam family "Bacterial small subunit ribosomal RNA", at positions 26 to 440 of the family's 1533-position model. The record is from RNAcentral.